AAACUGGGGUUAAUUCCCGAUGGGUGAGGAGGCCUGGAAUGGUUCUUCACUGAAAGGGCGCUAGAGGCAUGCUCUCUAACGUUGCCCAAGGAUGGGGCCGCGGCCGAUCAGGUUGUUGGUGAGGUAACGGCUUACCAAGCCUAUAACCGGUACGGGCCGUGAGAGCGGAAGCCCGGAGAUGGGCACUGAGAUAAGGGCCCAGGCCCUACGGGGCGCAGCAGUUGCGAAAACUCCGCAAUGCACGAAAGUGUGACGGGGCUACCCCGAGUGCCGUCCGCUGAGGAUGGCUUUUCUCCGCUGUAAGGAGGCGGAGGAAUAAGGAGAGGGCAAGACUGGUGUCAGCCGCCGCGGUAAUACCAGCUCUCCGAGUGGUAGGGGUGAUUAUUGGGCUUAAAGCGUCCGUAGCCGGCCUGGCAAGUCUUCCGUUAAAUCCAGCAACCUAAUUGUUGGGCUGCGGGGGAUACUGUUAGGCUUGGGGGCGGGAGAGGCCGACGGUAUUCUCNGGGGUAGGGGUGAAAUCUUAUAAUCCCCAAGAGGACACAUGNGGGNAA
Molecule: ribosomal RNA, 551 nt
Filed under: uncultured archaeon
Lineage: Archaea
Description: bacterial SSU rRNA
Rfam family: Archaeal small subunit ribosomal RNA
Source: RNAcentral